Molecule: non-coding RNA, 197 nt
Organism: Triticum urartu
Lineage: Eukaryota; Viridiplantae; Streptophyta; Magnoliopsida; Poales; Poaceae
Source: Rfam
AUACCUUUCUCGAUCUUUUGGCUAAGAUCAAGUGUAGUAUCUAUUCUUAUCAGUUUAAUAUCUGAUAUGUGGGCCAAAUGCCCACAACGAUAUUAAAUUUAUUUUUUACAGGGAAGGGUCCACCACAAUAGUUUGCUAUUAGGGCCUUCAAGUGUCGUCCGGGCGUUGCACUACAGCCCAGACCCGGCACACCCCAA